RNAcentral lists this ribosomal RNA (254 nucleotides) under uncultured bacterium. Its description in RNAcentral is "partial 16S ribosomal RNA". It matches the Rfam family "Bacterial small subunit ribosomal RNA", at positions 524 to 776 of the family's 1533-position model. The record is from RNAcentral.
GACGAACCGUACGAACGUUAUUCGGAAUUACUGGGCUUAAAAGGGUGCGUAGGCGGCGCAGUAAGUUGGGUGUGAAAUCCCUCGGCUUAACCGAGGAAUUGCGCCCAAAACUACUGUGCUCGAGGGAGAUAGAGGUGAGCGGAACUUAGGGUGGAGCGGUGAAAUGCGUUGAUAUCCUAAGGAACACCGGUGGCGAAAGCGGCGUACUGGGUCUUAUCUGACGCUGAGGCACGAAAGCUAGGGGAGCGAACGGG